Molecule: non-coding RNA, 874 nt
Filed under: Pan troglodytes (chimpanzee)
Lineage: Eukaryota; Metazoa; Chordata; Mammalia; Primates; Hominidae
Source: RNAcentral
GCCACUCCUAGCUAUGUAACCAAAUGAAAAGUACACAUGUGCUCCGAGAGACACACACAGGAAUAUUCAGAACCUUUUCUGUAAUAGCUAUAAACUGAAAGCAGCACAUGUCCAACAGGAAAAUGAAUAAACAAAUACAGCAUAUUCAUACAAUAGAAUCCUAUACAGAGCAACUAAAAUAACAGCUAGAGGCAACAACACGGAUGGAUCUUACAAGCCUGAUGUGGAACAAGAGAAGCCCAUUCAGAGACUAAGUGAAUGGAUUUAUGUGGUAUGCAAAAACAGGCAAAACCAAAUUAUAGUGUUUUGGGAGGUAUGCUUACAUAGUAAAGCUCUGAAGGAAAACAAAGAAAAGGCGACUAAAGAGAAUGACAACUUACGCAAUGCAGAAUCCUGGAUUGGAUCCUAGAUCCAAUCAACGUGUAGGGAUGCUGAUCCCACUCCAAGUCUAGAACAUCAUUCACAUCUUGGACAGCAAAUUUCACAUACUGAUGAAGGCGCCGAAUUUCCUAUAAGAAAAAAAUUAAAAGUCAUUCUGCAAAAUCUACAAGUGGAUAGCGCACCACCACUACCUGGGCCCACUGUGUCCCUGCAAGAAAGACAACGUGAAAGAAGGUUCUUGUAUGCAAAGGCAUACCGGUAGUAGAGCCAUCACCACAUCUGGAGACGUUUCCAGGGUCCCAUCUGCAGCAGCAUACACUAUGGCAAAGACGUAGGUACCGAUCCACAGCACAUCCAGAACUGAAAGACACAUCUUAAUCAGUAGCUCAUAAAAAUGACAGCAACCAGAUACAAGAAAAAGCAGCUUAUGUUUGGAAUAGCCACUAUGGAUAAAAAAAAAUCAAAGGCCCUGAUUUCAUUGACUAAAUAUAAU